GUGCUUGCAGUGGCAGCACAUAUACUAAAAUUGGAACGAUACAGAGAGGAUUAGCAUAGCCCCUGCAUAAGGAUGACAUGAGACCACUAUUAUAAAAACCCAAGAAAA
Small nuclear RNA from Trichechus manatus latirostris (Florida manatee), 108 nucleotides. NCBI's taxonomy places the organism in Eukaryota, Metazoa, Chordata, Mammalia, Sirenia, Trichechidae. The record is from RefSeq and is a predicted model, not a curated record.